Non-coding RNA from Enhygromyxa salina, 1938 nucleotides. Lineage: Bacteria; Pseudomonadati; Myxococcota; Nannocystales; Nannocystaceae. The record is from Rfam.
GGUUAAGCGACUAAGCGUACACGGUGGAUGCCCUGGCAGUCAGAGGCGAUGAAGGACGUGCUAAUCUGCGAUAAGCGUCGGUGAGGUGAUAUGAACCGUUAUAACCGGCGAUUUCCGAAUGGGGAAACCCAGUGUGAUUCGUCACACUAUCGCAACAUGAAUACAUAGUGUUGCGAGGCGAACCGGGGGAACUGAAACAUCUAAGUACCCCGAGGAAAAGAAAUCAACCGAGAUUCCCCCAGUAGCGGCGAGCGAACGGGGAGCAGCCCAGAGCCUGAAUCAGCUUGUGUGUUAGUGGAAGCGUCUGGAAAGGCGCAGGGUACAGGGUGAUACUCCCGUACACGAAAGCACACAGGCUGUGAGCUCGAUGAGUAGGGCGGGACACGUGGUAUCCUGUCUGAAUAUGGGGGGACCAUCCUCCAAGGCUAAAUACUCCUGACUGACCGAUAGUGAACCAGUACCGUGAGGGAAAGGCGAAAAGAACCCCGGCGAGGGGAGUGAAACAGAACCUGAAACCGUGUACGUACAAGCAGUGGGAGCCUCUUUGUGGGGUGACUGCGUACCUUUUGUAUAAUGGGUCAGCGACUUAUAUUCUGUAGCAAGGUUAACCGUAUAGGGGAGCCGCAGGGAAACCGAGUCUUAACUGGGCGUUAAGUUGCAGGGUAUAGACCCGAAACCCGGUGAUCUAGCCAUGGGCAGGUUGAAGGUUGGGUAACACUAACUGGAGGACCGAACCGACUAAUGUUGAAAAAUUAGCGGAUGACCUGUGGCUGGGGGUGAAAGGCCAAUCAAACCGGGAGAUAGCUGGUUCUCCCCGAAAGCUAUUUAGGUAGCGCCUCGUGAACUCAUCCUCGGGGGUAGAGCACUGUUUCGGCAAGGGGGUCAUCCCGACUUACCAACCCGAUGCAAACUGCGAAUACCGGAGAAUGUUAUCACGGGAGACACACGGCGGGUGCUAACGUCCGUCGUGAAGAGGGAAACAACCCAGACCGCCAGCUAAGGUCCCAAAGUCAUGGUUAAGUGGGAAACGAUGUGGGAAGGCCCAGACAGCCAGGAUGUUGGCUUAGAAGCAGCCAUCAUUUAAAGAAAGCGUAAUAGCUCACUGGUCGAGUCGGCCUGCGCGGAAGAUGUAACGGGGCUAAACCAUGCACCGAAGCUGCGGCAGCAGUAGCGAUACUGUUGGGUAGGGGAGCGUUCUGUAAGCCGUCGAAGGUGGCCUGUGAGGGCUGCUGGAGGUAUCAGAAGUGCGAAUGCUGACAUAAGUAACGAUAAAGCGGGUGAAAAGCCCGCUCGCCGGAAGACCAAGGGUUCCUGUCCAACGUUAAUCGGGGCAGGGUGAGUCGACCCCUAAGGCGAGGCCGAAAGGCGUAGUCGAUGGGAAACAGGUUAAUAUUCCUGUACUUGGUGUUGCUGCGAAGGGGGGACGGAGAAGGCUAUGUUGGCCGGGCGACGGUUGUCCCGGUUUAAGCGUGUAGGCUGGUUUUCCAGGCAAAUCCGGAAAAUCAAGGCUGAGGCGUGAUGACGAGGCACUACGGUGCUGAAGCAACAAAUGCCCUGCUUCCAGGAAAAGCCUCUAAGCUCCAGGCAACACGAAAUCGUACCCCAAACCGACACAGGUGGUCAGGUAGAGAAUACCAAGGCGCUUGAGAGAACUCGGGUGAAGGAACUAGGCAAAAUGGUGCCGUAACUUCGGGAGAAGGCACGCUGAUAUGUAGGUGAAGCGACUUGCUCGUGGAGCUGAAAUCAGUCGAAGAUACCAGCUGGCUGCAACUGUUUAUUAAAAACACAGCACUGUGCAAACACGAAAGUGGACGUAUACGGUGUGACGCCUGCCCGGUGCCGGAAGGUUAAUUGAUGGGGUUAUCCGCAAGGAGAAGCUCUUGAUCGAAGCCCCGGUAAACGGCGGCCGUAACUAUAACGGUCCUAAGGUAGCGAAAU